GGCCUCAAAUUAGGUGGAGGUAAUAGUUCUGGAGUUCUCGGAGGUAAUGGAAAACUUGGAGAUCUCAGUCUAGGCGAUCUUGGUCUAGGUGGUAA
Molecule: long non-coding RNA, 95 nt
Organism: Argiope bruennichi
Lineage: Eukaryota; Metazoa; Arthropoda; Arachnida; Araneae; Araneidae
Exons: 5
Source: RefSeq, a predicted model, not a curated record